UAUCUUUAAUUGUUUUUUUACAUGAUCAACUUUGUUAGAGGAUGGAAGACAUUUAAUUUGAUGACUCUUUUAAGUUCCCAUGUCAACACAUUACUUUGGUUGCUUAGUUGAUAAGGACGAAGGCUUAGGCUUAAUGAAUUGUUUCGGAAGAAGGUGAUCUAAUUUAUAUAUCUUUCUACAAUUGUGGUCUAUCCUUGUGUUUCGCAUUU
RNAcentral lists this long non-coding RNA (209 nucleotides) under Carica papaya (papaya). RNAcentral describes it as "long non-coding RNA (CPAP_LNC015979)". Lineage: Eukaryota; Viridiplantae; Streptophyta; Magnoliopsida; Brassicales; Caricaceae. The record is from RNAcentral.